This 253-nucleotide ribosomal RNA is filed under the name uncultured bacterium. Its description in RNAcentral is "partial 16S ribosomal RNA". It matches the Rfam family "Bacterial small subunit ribosomal RNA", at positions 524 to 776 of the family's 1533-position model. The record is from RNAcentral.
UACGUAGGGUGCAAGCGUUGUCCGGAAUUAUUGGGCGUAAAGAGCUCGUAGGCGGUCUGUCGCGUCUGCUGUGAAAACUCGGGGCUUAACCCCGGGCCUGCAGUGGGUACGGGCAGACUAGAGUGCGGUAGGGGAGACUGGAAUUCCUGGUGUAGCGGUGAAAUGCGCAGAUAUCAGGAGGAACACCAGCGGCGAAGGCGGCGCUCUGGGCCGGUACUGACACUGAGGAGCGAAAGCGUGGGUAGCAAACAGG